This 497-nucleotide ribosomal RNA is filed under the name uncultured bacterium. Its description in RNAcentral is "partial 16S ribosomal RNA". It matches the Rfam family "Bacterial small subunit ribosomal RNA", at positions 28 to 507 of the family's 1533-position model. The record is from RNAcentral.
GAUGAACGCUGGCGGCGUGCCUAAUACAUGCAAGUCGAGCGAACAGAUGAGGAGCUUGCUCCUCUGACGUUAGCGGCGGACGGGUGAGUAACACGUGGAUAACCUACCUAUAAGACUGGGAUAACUACGGGAAACCGGAGCUAAUACCGGAUAAUAUAUUGAACCGCAUGGUUCAAUAGUGAAAGACGGUUUUGCUGUCACUUAUAGAUGGAUCCGCGCCGCAUUAGCUAGUUGGUAAGGUAACGGCUUACCAAGGCAACGAUGCGUAGCCGACCUGAGAGGGUGAUCGGCCCCACUGGAACUGAGACACGGUCCAGACUCCUACGGGAGGCAGCAGUAGGGAAUCUUCCGCAAUGGGCGAAAGCCUGACGGAGCAACGCCGCGUGAGUGAUGAAGGUCUUCGGAUCGUAAAACUCUGUUAUUAGGGAAGAACAAAUGUGUAAGUAACUAUGCACGUCUUGACGGUACCUAAUCAGAAAGCCACGGCUAACUACGUG